AUCCAGCUGACUAGUCCCAAAUAGGACAAAAUGUGCGUCAAACUGGAU
Schistosoma mansoni is the source of this 48-nucleotide non-coding RNA. The record is from Rfam. Lineage: Eukaryota; Metazoa; Platyhelminthes; Trematoda; Strigeidida; Schistosomatidae.